RNAcentral lists this transfer RNA (84 nucleotides) under Planctomyces sp. RNAcentral describes it as "tRNA-Leu". It matches the Rfam family "tRNA". Rfam says of the family: Transfer RNA (tRNA) molecules are approximately 80 nucleotides in length. Their secondary structure includes four short double-helical elements and three loops (D, anti-codon, and T loops). Further hydrogen bonds mediate the characteristic L-shaped molecular structure. tRNAs have two regions of fundamental functional importance: the anti-codon, which is responsible for specific mRNA codon recognition, and the 3' end, to which the tRNAs corresponding amino acid is attached (by aminoacyl-tRNA synthetases). tRNAs cope with the degeneracy of the genetic code in two manners: having more than one tRNA (with a specific anti-codon) for a particular amino acid; and 'wobble' base-pairing, i.e. permitting non-standard base-pairing at the 3rd anti-codon position. Lineage: Bacteria; Pseudomonadati; Planctomycetota; Planctomycetia; Planctomycetales; Planctomycetaceae. RNAcentral also lists the same sequence under 1 other name. The record is from RNAcentral.
GCGGUCGUGGCGGAAUUGGCAGACGCGCUAGAUUCAGGUUCUAGUGGGGUAAAACCCGUGGAGGUUCGACUCCUCUCGACCGCA